GCGCCCAUAGCUCAGCUGGAUAGAGCACCGGUUUCCUAAACCGGGGGUCCCGUGUUCGAACCUCGGUGGGCGCG
Molecule: transfer RNA, 74 nt
Filed under: Deltaproteobacteria bacterium
Lineage: Bacteria; Pseudomonadati; Myxococcota; Myxococcia
Description: tRNA-Arg
Rfam family: tRNA
About the family: Transfer RNA (tRNA) molecules are approximately 80 nucleotides in length. Their secondary structure includes four short double-helical elements and three loops (D, anti-codon, and T loops). Further hydrogen bonds mediate the characteristic L-shaped molecular structure. tRNAs have two regions of fundamental functional importance: the anti-codon, which is responsible for specific mRNA codon recognition, and the 3' end, to which the tRNAs corresponding amino acid is attached (by aminoacyl-tRNA synthetases). tRNAs cope with the degeneracy of the genetic code in two manners: having more than one tRNA (with a specific anti-codon) for a particular amino acid; and 'wobble' base-pairing, i.e. permitting non-standard base-pairing at the 3rd anti-codon position.
Source: RNAcentral